This 740-nucleotide ribosomal RNA is filed under the name uncultured archaeon. RNAcentral describes it as "bacterial SSU rRNA". It matches the Rfam family "Archaeal small subunit ribosomal RNA", at positions 1 to 750 of the family's 1478-position model. The record is from RNAcentral.
UUCCGGUUGAUCCCGCCGGACCCGACUGCUAUCAUAGUGGGACUAAGCCAUGCGAGUCGACGUAGCAAUGCGUGGCGAACGGCUCAGUAACACGUAGUCUACAUGCCCAGGGGACGUGGAUAACCUCGGGAAACUGAGAAUAAACCACGAUAGGUCACGAUUUCUGGAAUGGAUCAUGGCAUAAAUCUACAUGGCCCCUGGAUUGGACUGCGGCCGAUCAGGCAGUUGGUGAGGUAAUGGCCCACCAAACCUAUAACCGGUACGGGCUCUGAGAGGAGAAGCCCGGAGAUGGGCACUGAGACAAGGGCCCAGGCCCUAUGGGGCGCAGCAGGCGCGAAACCUCUGCAAUAGGCGAAAGCCUGACAGGGUUACUCUGAGUGAUUUCCGCUAAGGGGAUCUUUUGGCACCUCUAAAAAUGGUGCAGAAUAAGGGGUGGGCAAGUCUGGUGUCAGCCGCCGCGGUAAUACCAGCACCCCGAGUGGUCGGGACGAUUAUUGGGCCUAAAGCAUCCGUAGCCGGUUCUGCAAGUCUUCCGUUAAAUCCAGCCGCUCAACGGAUGGGCCGCGGAGGAUACUAUAGGACUAGGAGGCGGGAGAGGCAAGCGGUACUCAGUGGGUAGGGGUAAAAUCCUUUGAUCCAUUGAAGACCACCAGUGGCGAAGGCGGCUUGCCAGAACGCGCUCGACGGUGAGGGAUGAAAGCUGGGGGAGCAAACCGGAUUAGAUACCCGGGUAGUCCCAG